RNAcentral lists this ribosomal RNA (497 nucleotides) under uncultured bacterium. Its description in RNAcentral is "partial 16S ribosomal RNA". It matches the Rfam family "Bacterial small subunit ribosomal RNA", at positions 28 to 507 of the family's 1533-position model. The record is from RNAcentral.
GAUGAACGCUGGCGGCGUGCCUAAUACAUGCAAGUCGAGCGAACAGGCGAGGAGCUUGCUCCUCUGACGUUAGCGGCGGACGGGUGAGUAACACGUGGAUAACCUACCUAUAAGACUGGGAUAACUUCGGGAAACCGGAGCUAAUACCGGAUAACAUGUUGAACCGCAUGGUUCAACAGUGAAAGACGGUCUUGCUGUCACUUAUAGAUGGAUCCGCGCCGCAUUAGCUAGUUGGUAAGGUAACGGCUUACCAAGGCAACGAUGCGUAGCCGACCUGAGAGAGUGAUCGGCCACACUGGAACUGAGACACGGUCCAGACUCCUACGGGAGGCAGCAGUAGGGAAUCUUCCGCAAUGGGCGAAAGCCUGACGGAGCAACACCGCGUGAGUGAAGAAGGUCUUCGGAUCGUAAAACUCUGUUAUUAGGGAAGAACAAAUGUGUAAGUAACUAUGCACGUCUUGACGGUACCUUAUCAGAAAGCCACGGCUAACUACGUG